This 219-nucleotide long non-coding RNA is filed under the name Manihot esculenta (cassava). Its description in RNAcentral is "long non-coding RNA (MESC_LNC006262)". Lineage: Eukaryota; Viridiplantae; Streptophyta; Magnoliopsida; Malpighiales; Euphorbiaceae. The record is from RNAcentral.
AGGCCUUAAGACCAUCUUUAAGCAAAAAUUCCCCAGAUCAUAUGCAGGGACAAUUCAUAAAAAUACAGUUCCGACCUCACAAAAAGAUGCGUCCAAAGGCAUCAAAGAAAGGCCAAACUCCGAUCUCCCGAAGGAGCUCGGAGCACUAUGGCCAAAAGGUACUGAACUUAAAAAGUGAUCGCUGACGCUAAGCUCAGCUUACAAAGAGGUCUAGACAGC